GAAAUGCGAUACUUAGUGUGAAUUGCAGAAUUCAGUGAAUCAUCGAAAUCUUGAACGCAUAUUGCACCUGUAGGUUCUCCUACAGGUACAUCUGUUUGAGUGUCCUUUCAAUAUCACCCCACAACAAAAAUUGCGGGUGUGGAAUUUGGGCGUCGAGCAAAUAACCGUGCUCUGUCGCCUUAAAUAUAUUAAGGUACCAAUCGAAGAGUCCAUCUCUGGUUCCAAAGUGGUGUUAGUAGCAUACUUAACUGUGUGAUUAUUUCUCCUCGAGUAAGACCAGGCUUAAAGAUGAGUCACUUUAUGGUUUCCAAUUACAAAGGACAAACUUUUUCCAAACUUGGACCUCAAAUCAGAUGAGAACACCCGCUGAACUUAA
This 376-nucleotide unclassified non-coding RNA is filed under the name uncultured fungus. Its description in RNAcentral is "sequence contains ITS1". The stretch from base 1 to 105 matches the Rfam family "5.8S ribosomal RNA", at positions 50 to 154 of the family's 154-position model. Lineage: Eukaryota; Fungi. The record is from RNAcentral.